GGGGGGGAGGAGAUUUGUAUCCGUGGCCGACGUGAGUAAGACGUUUAAGCGCGUUAACCCUCGCAAGGCUGCCAGCCCAGACAGCAUCCCUAGCCGCGUCCUCAGAGCAUAGCAGACCAGCUGGCUGGAGUGUUAACGGACAUAUUCAGUCUCUCCCUAUCACAGUCUGUUGUCCCCACAUGCUUCAAGAUGUCCACCAUUGUUCCCGUACCCAAGAAAGCAAAGAUCCACAGACGAUGGAAUUGCCAUCGCACUGCACACUGCCCUAUUCCAUCUGGAGAAGAAGAAUGCCUAUAUGAGAAUGCUGUUCAUUUACUAUAGCUUAGCAUUCAACACCAUAGUACCCUCCAAGCUUGAGGCCCUGGGUCUGAACCCCACCGUGUGCAACUGGGUCUUGGACUUCCUGAUGAGCCACCCACAGGUGGUGAAGGUAGGAAACAACACCUCCACUUCGCUGAUCCUCAACACCUAUGGCCCCACAAGGAUGCGUGCUCAGCCCCCUCCUGUACUCCCUGUUCACCCAUGACUGGGUGGCCACACACGCCUCCAACUCAAUCAUCAAGUUUUCAGACAACACAACAAUAGUAGGCCUGAUUACCAACAAUGACGAGACAGCCUAAAGGGAGGAGGAAAGGGCCCGGGGAGUGUGAAGUGAGCUUCCAGUUCCUCGGUGUACACAUCACUAACAAACUGAAAUGGUCAACCCACACAACAGAGCCUCAUCAACCUCAGGAGGCUGAAGAAAUUUGACUUAAAACCCUCAACUUUUACAAAUACACAAUUGAGAGCAUCCUGUUGGGCUGUAUCACCACCUGGUACAGCAACUGCACCACCCGCAACCGCAGGGCUCUCCAGAGGGUGGUGCAUCCCUGCCCAACACAUCACCGGGUGCAAGCUACCUGCUCUCCAGGACACCUACAGCACCCGAUGUCACAGGAAGGCCAAAAAGAUCAUCAAGGACAACAACCACCCGAGCCACUGCCUGUUCACACCGCUAUCAUCCAGAUGUUGACGUCAGUACAGAUACAUCAAAGCUGAGACAGAGACUGAAAAACAGCUUCUAUCUCAAUGUCAUCAGACUGUUAAACAGUCAUCACUAGCACAUUAGAGGCUGCUGCCCUAUUUACGUAGACUUGAAAACACUGGCCAAUGGAUCAUAAUGGAUCACUAGUCACUUUAAUUAUGUUGACUUAUUUUGCAUCACUCAUCUCAUAUGUAUAUACUUGAUUCUAUCCUAUUCUACUGUAUCUUAGUCUAUGCUGCUCUUACAUUGCUCAUAUUUCUAUAUUCUUAAUUCC
Oncorhynchus tshawytscha (Chinook salmon) is the source of this 1298-nucleotide long non-coding RNA. The record is from Ensembl. Lineage: Eukaryota; Metazoa; Chordata; Actinopteri; Salmoniformes; Salmonidae.